Molecule: ribosomal RNA, 498 nt
Filed under: uncultured bacterium
Lineage: Bacteria
Description: partial 16S ribosomal RNA
Rfam family: Bacterial small subunit ribosomal RNA
Source: RNAcentral
GACGAACGCUGGCGGCGUGCCUAAUACAUGCAAGUCGAGCGGACGGAUGGGAGCUUGCUCCCAGACCGUCAGCGGCGGACGCGUGAGUAACACGUGGGCAACCUGCCUGUAAGACUGGGAUAACUCCGGGAAACCGGGGCUAAUACCGGAUAACUCUUUCCCUCACAUGAGGGAAAGCUGAAAGAUGGCAUCUCGCUAUCACUUACAGAUGGGCCCGCGGCGCAUUAGCUAGUUGGUGAGGUAACGGCUCACCAAGGCGACGAUGCGUAGCCGACCUGAGAGGGUGAUCGGCCACACUGGGACUGAGACACGGCCCAGACUCCUACGGGAGGCAGCAGUAGGGAAUCUUCCGCAAUGGACGAAAGUCUGACGGAGCAACGCCGCGUGAGUGAUGAAGGUUUUCGGAUCGUAAAACUCUGUUGUCAGGGAAGAACAAGUACCGGAGUAACUGCCGGUACCUUGACGGUACCUGACCAGAAAGCCACGGCUAACUACGUG